AUCUAAUUGAUGAGUCUCAAAUAGGACGAAAUGAACAUCCUAGAU
This 45-nucleotide non-coding RNA is filed under the name Schistosoma bovis. The record is from RNAcentral. Lineage: Eukaryota; Metazoa; Platyhelminthes; Trematoda; Strigeidida; Schistosomatidae. RNAcentral also lists the same sequence under 1 other name.